This 253-nucleotide ribosomal RNA is filed under the name uncultured bacterium. RNAcentral's name for it is "partial 16S ribosomal RNA". It matches the Rfam family "Bacterial small subunit ribosomal RNA", at positions 524 to 776 of the family's 1533-position model. The record is from RNAcentral.
UACGGAGGGGGCUAGCGUUGUUCGGAAUUACUGGGCGUAAAGCGCACGUAGGCGGCUUUGUAAGUUAGAGGUGAAAGCCCGGGGCUCAACUCCGGAAUUGCCUUUAAGACUGCAUCGCUAGAAUUGUGGAGAGGUAAGUGGAAUUCCGAGUGUAGAGGUGAAAUUCGUAGAUAUCAGGAGGAACACCGGUGGCGAAGGCGGCCAUCUGGACGACAACUGACGCUGAGGCGCGAAAGCGUGGGGAUCAAACAGG